Molecule: ribosomal RNA, 441 nt
Filed under: uncultured bacterium
Lineage: Bacteria
Description: bacterial SSU rRNA
Rfam family: Bacterial small subunit ribosomal RNA
Source: RNAcentral
AAUAUUGCACAAUGGGCGCAAGCCUGAUGCAGCCAUGCCGCGUGUAUGAAGAAGGCCUUCGGGUUGUAAAGUACUUUCAGCAGUGAGGAAGGUGGGUAUGUUAAUAGCAUACUCAUUUGACGUUAGCUGCAGAAGAAGCACCGGCUAACUCCGUGCCAGCAGCCGCGGUAAUACGGAGGGUGCGGGCGUUAAUCGGAAUUACUGGGCGUAAAGCGCAUGCAGGUGGUUUGUUAAGUCAGAUGUGAAAGCCCGGGGCUCAACCUCGGAAUUGCAUUUGAAACUGGCAAACUAGAGUACUGUAGAGGGGGUAGGAAUUUCAGGUGUAGCGGUGAAAUGCGUAGAGAUCUGAAGGAAUACCGGUGGCGAAGGCGGCCCCCUGGACAGAUACUGACACUCAGAUGCGAAAGCGUGGGGAGCAAACAGGAUUAGAUACCCUGGUAG